AACGAACGUUAGCGGCGCGCCUAACACAUGCAAGUCGAGCGAGAAGGAAGCAAUUCCUGUAAAGCGGCGCACGGGUGAGUAACACGUAGGUAAUCUACCUCGAAGUGGUGGAUAACCUUCCGAAAGGAGGGCUAAUACAGCAUGAGACCACGGUUUCGAAAGAGAUUGAGGUCAAAGCGGGCCACUAUACAUAAGCUCGCGCUUCGAGAUGAGCCUGCGGCCCAUCAUGGUAGUUGGUAGGGUAAUGGCCUACCAAGCCGAAGACGGGUAGCUGGUCUGAGAGGAUGAUCAGCCACACUGGAACUGAGACACGGUCCAGACUCCUACGGGAGGCAGCAGUGGGGAAUCUUGCGCAAUGGGCGAAAGCCUGACGCAGCGACGCCGCGUGAGUGAUGAAGGCCUCGGUUGUAAG
This 412-nucleotide ribosomal RNA is filed under the name uncultured bacterium. Its description in RNAcentral is "bacterial SSU rRNA". It matches the Rfam family "Bacterial small subunit ribosomal RNA", at positions 29 to 429 of the family's 1533-position model. The record is from RNAcentral.